UCCAGCAUGGCAUAGUGGUUUGAACAUUGGACUACAACUCUGGAGACCAGGGUUCGAAUCCCCUUUGCUUGGC
This is a non-coding RNA of Phrynosoma platyrhinos (Desert horned lizard), 73 nucleotides long. NCBI's taxonomy places the organism in Eukaryota, Metazoa, Chordata, Lepidosauria, Squamata, Phrynosomatidae. The record is from the annotation of a GenBank genome assembly.